AGAGUUUGAUCAUGGCUCAGAGCGAACGCUGGCGGCAUGCUUAACACAUGCAAGUCGCACGGGCAGGGGCAACUCUGUCAGUGGCGGACGGGUGAGUAACGCGUAGGUAUCUAUCUCUGGGUGGGGGAUAACCGUGGGAAACUACGGCUAAUACCGCAUGACACCUGAGGGUCAAAGGCGCGAGUCGCCUGGAGAGGAGCCUGCGUUCGAUUAGCUAGUUGGUGGGGUAAAGGCCUACCAAGGCGACGAUCGAUAGCUGGUCUGAGAGGAUGAUCAGCCACAUUGGGACUGAGACACGGCCCAAACUCCUACGGGAGGCAGCAGUGGGGAAUAUUGGACAAUGGGCGCAAGCCUGAUCCAGCAAUGCCGCGUGGGUGAAGAAGGUUUUCGGAUUGUAAAGCCCUUUUGGCGGGGACGAUGAUGACGGUACCCGCAGAAUAAGCCCCGGCUAACUUCGUGCCAGCAGCCGCGGUAAUACGAAGGGGGCUAGCGUUGCUCGGAAUGACUGGGCGUAAAGGGCGCGUAGGCGGCGGCCAAAGUCAGGCGUGAAAUUCCUGGGCUCAACCUGGGGGCUGCGUUUGAUACUUGGUUGCUUGAGUGGGGAAGAGGGUCGUGGAAUUCCCAGUGUAGAGGUGAAAUUCGUAGAUAUUGGGAAGAACACCGGUGGCGAAGGCGGCGACCUGGUCCUUUACUGACGCUGAGGCGCGAAAGCGUGGGGAGCAAACAGGAUUAGAUACCCUAGUAGUCC
This 748-nucleotide ribosomal RNA is filed under the name uncultured bacterium. Its description in RNAcentral is "bacterial SSU rRNA". It matches the Rfam family "Bacterial small subunit ribosomal RNA", at positions 8 to 796 of the family's 1533-position model. The record is from RNAcentral.